This 750-nucleotide ribosomal RNA is filed under the name uncultured bacterium. RNAcentral describes it as "bacterial SSU rRNA". It matches the Rfam family "Bacterial small subunit ribosomal RNA", at positions 145 to 896 of the family's 1533-position model. The record is from RNAcentral.
AGCCCGGGGAAACCCGAUUAAUACCGCAUACGCCCUGAGGGGAAAGCAGGGGAUCUUCGGACCUUGCACUAUUGGAUGAGCCCGCGUCGGAUUAGCUAGUUGGUGGGGUAAAGGCCUACCAAGGCGACGAUCCGUAGCUGGUCUGAGGGGAUGAUCAGCCACACUGGGACUGAGACACGGCCCAGACUCCUACGGGAGGCAGCAGUGGGGAAUAUUGCGCAAUGGGGGCAACCCUGACGCAGCCAUGCCGCGUGUGUGAAGAAGGCCCUAGGGUUGUAAAGCACUUUCAAUAGGGAGGAAAGGUGUAAGGUUAAUACCCUUGCACUGUGACGUUACCUAUAGAAGAAGCACCGGCUAACUCCGUGCCAGCAGCCGCGGUAAUACGGAGGGUGCGAGCGUUAAUCGGAAUGACUGGGCGUAAAGCGCGCGUAGGUGGUUUUUUAAGUUGGAUGUGAAAGCCCUGGGCUCAACCUGGGAACUGCACCCAAAACUGGGAGACUAGAGUACAGUAGAGGGGGGUAGAAUUUCCGGUGUAGCGGUGAAAUGCGUAGAGAUCGGAAGGAAUACCAGUGGCGAAGGGGCCCCCUGGACUGAUACUGACACUGAGGUGCGAAAGGUGGGUAGCGAACAGGAUUAGAUACCCUGGUAGUCCACGCCGUAAACGAUGUCUAUUAGCCGUUGGGCAGCUUGACUGUUUAGUGGCGCAGUAACGCGAUAAAUAGACCGCCUGGGGAGUACGGCCGCAAGUUA